AGCAGCCGCGGUAAUUCCAGCUCCAAUAGCGUAUAUUAAAGUUGUUGCAGUUAAAAAGCUCGUAGUUGAAUUUCGGGAUUGACACAUCGGUCGUGCCUUAAGGGGUAUGAACUGGUGUAGUCAAUUUCUCACCUUCUGGAGAACCGCGAUGCCCUUAAUUGGGUGUCACGGGGAACCAGGACCUUUACUUUGAAAAAAUUUAGAGUGUUUAAAGCAGGCAUUUUGCUUGAAUACAUUAGCAUGGAAUAAUAAAAUAGGACGGCAUGAUUCUAUUUUGUUGGUUUCUAGGAUCACCGUAAUGAUUAAUAGGGAUAGUUGGGGGCAUUAGUAUUCAAUUGUCAGAGGUGAAAUUCUUGGAUUUAUUGAAGACUAACUACUGCGAAAGCAUUUGCCAAGGAUGUUUUCAUUAAUCAAGAACGAAAGUUAGGGGAUCGAAGACGAUCAGAUACCGUCGUAGUCUUAACCAUAAACUAUGCCGACUAGGAAUCAGACGAUGUUAAUUUUUUAAUGACUCGUUUGG
This 520-nucleotide ribosomal RNA is filed under the name uncultured Entrophospora. Its description in RNAcentral is "SSU rRNA". It matches the Rfam family "Eukaryotic small subunit ribosomal RNA", at positions 569 to 1083 of the family's 1831-position model. The record is from RNAcentral. Lineage: Eukaryota; Fungi; Glomeromycota; Glomeromycetes; Entrophosporales; Entrophosporaceae.